Molecule: ribosomal RNA, 499 nt
Filed under: uncultured bacterium
Lineage: Bacteria
Description: partial 16S ribosomal RNA
Rfam family: Bacterial small subunit ribosomal RNA
Source: RNAcentral
GACGAACGCUGGCGGCGUGCCUAAUACAUGCAAGUCGAGCGAAGUUUUUCUGGUGCUUGCACUAGAAAAACUUAGCGGCGACCGGGUGAGUAACACGUAAAGAACCUGCCUCAUAGACUGGGACAACUAUUGGAAACGAUAGCUAAUACCGGAUAACAGUAUUUCUCGCAUGAGAGAUAUUUAAAAGUUGGUUAUGCUAACACUAUGAGAUGGCUUUGCGGUGCAUUAGCUAGUUGGUGGGGUAAAGGCCCACCAAGGCGACGAUGCAUAGCCGACCUGAGAGGGUGAUCGGCCACACUGGGACUGAGACGCGGCCCAGACUCCUACGGGAGGCAGCAGUAGGGAAUCUUCCGCAAUGGGCGAAAGCCUGACGGAGCAACGCCGCGUGAGUGAAGAAGGAUUUCGGUUCGUAAAGCUCUGUUGUUAGGGAAGAAUGGAUAUGUAGUAACUAUACAUGUAAGAGACGGUACCUAACCAGAAAGCCACGGCUAACUACGUG